RNAcentral lists this unclassified non-coding RNA (22 nucleotides) under Chlamydomonas reinhardtii. RNAcentral's name for it is "small RNA Cre_3956". The record is from RNAcentral. Lineage: Eukaryota; Viridiplantae; Chlorophyta; Chlorophyceae; Chlamydomonadales; Chlamydomonadaceae.
UUGCGGUUCUUCGGGAACGGGA